AGCAGGGUGGCUUAGUGGAAAGAGCACAGGCUGGGGAGUCAGAGGUCAUGGGUUCUAAUCCUGGCUCUGCUA
Molecule: transfer RNA, 72 nt
Filed under: Ornithorhynchus anatinus (platypus)
Lineage: Eukaryota; Metazoa; Chordata; Mammalia; Monotremata; Ornithorhynchidae
Rfam family: tRNA
About the family: Transfer RNA (tRNA) molecules are approximately 80 nucleotides in length. Their secondary structure includes four short double-helical elements and three loops (D, anti-codon, and T loops). Further hydrogen bonds mediate the characteristic L-shaped molecular structure. tRNAs have two regions of fundamental functional importance: the anti-codon, which is responsible for specific mRNA codon recognition, and the 3' end, to which the tRNAs corresponding amino acid is attached (by aminoacyl-tRNA synthetases). tRNAs cope with the degeneracy of the genetic code in two manners: having more than one tRNA (with a specific anti-codon) for a particular amino acid; and 'wobble' base-pairing, i.e. permitting non-standard base-pairing at the 3rd anti-codon position.
Source: Rfam by way of RNAcentral